This 745-nucleotide ribosomal RNA is filed under the name Bacillus pumilus. Its description in RNAcentral is "bacterial SSU rRNA". It matches the Rfam family "Bacterial small subunit ribosomal RNA", at positions 40 to 769 of the family's 1533-position model. The record is from RNAcentral. Lineage: Bacteria; Bacillati; Bacillota; Bacilli; Caryophanales; Bacillaceae.
CGGCGUGCCUAUACAUGCAAGUCGAGCGGACAGAAGGGAGCUUGCUCCCGGAUGUUAGCGGCGGACGGGUGAGUAACACGUGGGUAACCUGCCUGUAAGACUGGGAUAACUCCGGGAAACCGGAGCUAAUACCGGAUAGUUCCUUGAACCGCAUGGUUCAAGGAUGAAAGACGGUUUCGGCUGUCACUUACAGAUGGACCCGCGGCGCAUUAGCUAGUUGGUGAGGUAACGGCUCACCAAGGCGACGAUGCGUAGCCGACCUGAGAGGGUGAUCGGCCACACUGGGACUGAGACACGGCCCAGACUCCUACGGGAGGCAGCAGUAGGGAAUCUUCCGCAAUGGACGAAAGUCUGACGGAGCAACGCCGCGUGAGUGAUGAAGGUUUUCGGAUCGUAAAGCUCUGUUGUUAGGGAAGAACAAGUGCAAGAGUAACUGCUUGCACCUUGACGGUACCUAACCAGAAAGCCACGGCUAACUACGUGCCAGCAGCCGCGGUAAUACGUAGGUGGCAAGCGUUGUCCGGAAUUAUUGGGCGUAAAGGGCUCGCAGGCGGUUUCUUAAGUCUGAUGUGAAAGCCCCCGGCUCAACCGGGGAGGGUCAUUGGAAACUGGGAAACUUGAGUGCAGAAGAGGAGAGUGGAAUUCCACGUGUAGCGGUGAAAUGCGUAGAGAUGUGGAGGAACACCAGUGGCGAAGGCGACUCUCUGGUCUGUAACUGACGCUGAGGAGCGAAAGCGUGGGGAGC